Molecule: ribosomal RNA, 259 nt
Filed under: Aspergillus niger
Lineage: Eukaryota; Fungi; Ascomycota; Eurotiomycetes; Eurotiales; Aspergillaceae
Description: partial large subunit ribosomal RNA
Rfam family: Eukaryotic large subunit ribosomal RNA
Source: RNAcentral
GGCCCCUCCCUGUCUGUGGGGCAUAAAAUCCCAGCCGAUAGCGAACAAGUAGAGUGAUCGAAAGAUGAAAAGCACUUUGAAAAGAGAGUUAAACAGCACGUGAAAUUGUUGAAAGGGAAGCGCUUGCGACCAGACUCGCCCGCGGGGUUCAGCCGGCAUCGUGCCGGUGUACUUCCCCGUGGGCGGGCCAGCGUCGGUUUGGGCGGCCGGUCAAGGCCCCUGGAAUGUAGUACCCUCCGGGGUACCUUGUACCAGGGUG